UUAUGUGUGUGAUUUUUCUCUCUUUGCAUCGGUAUGAGUGUAUAUAUAUUUUUGUAAAGUGUUCCUUCUUUUAUGUAUACCCUAGUCAAAAAACAGCUAGAAUCCCUAUAUCUAUGUAUACUAAUGUACAAAUAUGCCUCUACUCAUGUAUGAGUAAAUAUACUAACAUUUUUUUCCUUAUAAGACUAUUUUUUUCUCUGACAUUAUGUAUAAAUUUUUUUGUAUACUUGAGUGCACCCCCAUACUCGUACCUUCUCCUAUAUUCAUAAUACACAAUACUCUUCUAUUACUUGAAUAUUAAUACUACCCUAAUACCAUCAAAUAUCCCUCUCACAUUAUUGCAAGCUAGUUUCUUACGUCAUAAUUUUUAUUUAUACUAAAACAUAGUUACUGUAUAAACUUACAUAUCAUUAUACAUAAAACUAAUAAACCUUUCCCAGACCAUUUAUCUCUCCUACAUUGAUAUUAUUUUACCAUAUUCCAACAUCCAUUAUCUAUUUCAACUUCACUUUUUUCAUCUUUAUUGCCACAGCAAGUAUUUACUAUCUAAAUUGUAAUAUCAACAA
Molecule: long non-coding RNA, 566 nt
Organism: Octopus sinensis (East Asian common octopus)
Lineage: Eukaryota; Metazoa; Mollusca; Cephalopoda; Octopoda; Octopodidae
Exons: 2
Source: RefSeq, a predicted model, not a curated record